AAAAGGCUAUUCUGAACAAAAAAAUACCUGCACUAACAAACUGACCCUUCUAGAGGCACCCACCUUUGAUGGUCGACUCGGUUGUCUCAGAAUCCUAGGUAUCACUAUGGCCUGAUCUGCUGCCCUAUGGUGCAUACUUAUUAGCUAAACUAUGCAUACAUAUGCUGCAAGUAGCUGCAGCAACACAUACUUGCCGACUGGAACUUCUCCAAGUCCCCCGCUAAAUAUGUCCCUUCCAGUUACACAUCCUUACAGGGCCUUUGCUAAUAAUCAUUUUGAAAAUCAUGCAGACCUUUAUCAUUUAAUCCAUGACAAACUGCAAAGGAUGAAGAUAUUACCCAUAUUUUCCUGCAACUUAUCCAAUAUAUAGUUCAUUAAAUACGCCUUCGUCCAUUUAGUACUACUAAAUUGUAAAUUUCAACAUACUAAAACUGGUUUCUGACCAUCAGAAUUCUGUCAAAUCUUCCCCAAAGUCCAGGAAAUGGCACUUCAGAGACUUUACAUUUAAAA
This is a non-coding RNA of Paramuricea clavata, 510 nucleotides long. The record is from the annotation of a GenBank genome assembly. NCBI's taxonomy places the organism in Eukaryota, Metazoa, Cnidaria, Anthozoa, Malacalcyonacea, Plexauridae.